Molecule: ribosomal RNA, 337 nt
Filed under: uncultured Bacteroidota bacterium
Lineage: Bacteria; Pseudomonadati; Bacteroidota
Description: bacterial SSU rRNA
Rfam family: Bacterial small subunit ribosomal RNA
Source: RNAcentral
GAGUUUGAUCCUGGCUCAGGACGAACGCUGGCGGCGUGCCUAACGCAUGCAAGUCGAACGAAGAACCUUGACUGAACCCUUCGGGGGGAUUUCAAAGUUACUGAGUGGCGCACGGGUGAGUAACGCGUACGCAACCUGCCUUCAAGAGCGGGAUAGCCCCGGGAAACUGGGAUUAAUACCGCAUAGUAUUAUUAACUGGCAUCGGUUGAUAAUUAAAGCUAUGGCGCUUGAAGAUGGGCGUGCGUGCUAUUAUCUAGUUGGUGAGGUAACGGCUCACCAAGGCGACGAUAGCUAUGGGGCGUGAGAGCGUGACCCCAUACACCGGUACUGUGACACA